RNAcentral lists this ribosomal RNA (1427 nucleotides) under Klebsiella pneumoniae. RNAcentral describes it as "bacterial SSU rRNA". It matches the Rfam family "Bacterial small subunit ribosomal RNA". The record is from RNAcentral. Lineage: Bacteria; Pseudomonadati; Pseudomonadota; Gammaproteobacteria; Enterobacterales; Enterobacteriaceae.
CUACACAUGCAGUCGAGCGGUAGCACAGAGAGCUUGCUCUCGGGUGACGAGCGGCGGACGGGUGAGUAAUGUCUGGGAAACUGCCUGAUGGAGGGGGAUAACUACUGGAAACGGUAGCUAAUACCGCAUAAUGUCGCAAGACCAAAGUGGGGGACCUUCGGGCCUCAUGCCAUCAGAUGUGCCCAGAUGGGAUUAGCUAGUAGGUGGGGUAACGGCUCACCUAGGCGACGAUCCCUAGCUGGUCUGAGAGGAUGACCAGCCACACUGGAACUGAGACACGGUCCAGACUCCUACGGGAGGCAGCAGUGGGGAAUAUUGCACAAUGGGCGCAAGCCUGAUGCAGCCAUGCCGCGUGUGUGAAGAAGGCCUUCGGGUUGUAAAGCACUUUCAGCGGGGAGGAAGGCGGUGAGGUUAAUAACCUCAUCGAUUGACGUUACCCGCAGAAGAAGCACCGGCUAACUCCGUGCCAGCAGCCGCGGUAAUACGGAGGGUGCAAGCGUUAAUCGGAAUUACUGGGCGUAAAGCGCACGCAGGCGGUCUGUCAAGUCGGAUGUGAAAUCCCCGGGCUCAACCUGGGAACUGCAUUCGAAACUGGCAGGCUAGAGUCUUGUAGAGGGGGGGUAGAAUUCCAGGUGUAGCGGUGAAAUGCGUAGAGAUCUGGAGGAAUACCGGUGGCGAAGGCGGCCCCCUGGACAAAGACUGACGCUCAGGUGCGAAAGCGUGGGGAGCAAACAGGAUUAGAUACCCUGGUAGUCCACGCCGUAAACGAUGUCGAUUUGGAGGUUGUGCCCUUGAGGCGUGGCUUCCGGAGCUAACGCGUUAAAUCGACCGCCUGGGGAGUACGGCCGCAAGGUUAAAACUCAAAUGAAUUGACGGGGGCCCGCACAAGCGGUGGAGCAUGUGGUUUAAUUCGAUGCAACGCGAAGAACCUUACCUGGUCUUGACAUCCACAGAACUUUCCAGAGAUGGAUUGGUGCCUUCGGGAACUGUGAGACAGGUGCUGCAUGGCUGUCGUCAGCUCGUGUUGUGAAAUGUUGGGUUAAGUCCCGCAACGAGCGCAACCCUUAUCCUUUGUUGCCAGCGGUCCGGCCGGGAACUCAAAGGAGACUGCCAGUGAUAAACUGGAGGAAGGUGGGGAUGACGUCAAGUCAUCAUGGCCCUUACGACCAGGGCUACACACGUGCUACAAUGGCAUAUACAAAGAGAAGCGACCUCGCGAGAGCAAGCGGACCUCAUAAAGUAUGUCGUAGUCCGGAUUGGAGUCUGCAACUCGACUCCAUGAAGUCGGAAUCGCUAGUAAUCGUAGAUCAGAAUGCUACGGUGAAUACGUUCCCGGGCCUUGUACACACCGCCCGUCACACCAUGGGAGUGGGUUGCAAAAGAAGUAGGUAGCUUAACCUUCGGGAGGGCGCUACUCACAUUUGAUC